GUCACGUUAGCUUGUUUGGUAGACCGUUGGACUUUUGCUCAAAGUGUCGCGGGUUCGAUACCCGCCGAGGACA
This is a non-coding RNA of Potamilus streckersoni, 73 nucleotides long. NCBI's taxonomy places the organism in Eukaryota, Metazoa, Mollusca, Bivalvia, Unionida, Unionidae. The record is from the annotation of a GenBank genome assembly.